ACUCAAAGGAAUAGACGGGGACUUGCACAAGCAGUGGAUUAUGUGGUUUAAUUCGACGUCAAACGAAGAACCUCACCAGGGUUUGAAACCUAGUUGAAGACUAGAGGAAACUUUAGUCGCCUCACAAGGGCAAUUAGGCAGGUGAUGCAUGGCCGUCGUCAGUUCGUGGUUUGAAUUGUUCCCUUAAGUGGGGUAACGAACGCAACCCUCGUUGCCUGUUACAAGUGUCAGGCGAGACUGCCCAGCUUUCAGUUUUUGAAAGAGAAAUUUUUCGAAGAUUGGAAGCUGGGAGGAAGGCGAGGAUGACGCCAGGUCAGCAUGUCCCUCUGAUAUCCUGGGCUACACACAUAAUAUAAUGCGGCAUACAACGCGACGCAAUAGGGUAACCUGGAGCAAAUCGUUAGAAAGUGCCGCUAAGUUCGGAUUGAGGUCUGCAACUCGACCUCAUGAAGCUAGAAUUGCUAGUAAUCGCGGGUCAGCUAUACCGCGGUGAAUACGUUCUCAAGUCUUGUACACACCGCCCGU
RNAcentral lists this ribosomal RNA (525 nucleotides) under uncultured bacterium. RNAcentral describes it as "partial 16S ribosomal RNA". It matches the Rfam family "Bacterial small subunit ribosomal RNA", at positions 899 to 1397 of the family's 1533-position model. The record is from RNAcentral.